This 474-nucleotide ribosomal RNA is filed under the name uncultured bacterium. RNAcentral describes it as "bacterial SSU rRNA". It matches the Rfam family "Bacterial small subunit ribosomal RNA", at positions 28 to 512 of the family's 1533-position model. The record is from RNAcentral.
GAUGAACGCUGGCGGCGUGCCUAAUACAUGCAAGUCGAACGAGGUGCCUUUGUAGCAAUACGAAGGUAUCCUAGUGGCGAACGGGUGAGUAACGCGUUGGCGACCUACCCCAAAGUGUGGGAUAACAGAUCGAAAGAUCUGCUAAUACCGCAUGUGGUCUUCGGAUUUAGAAACUGAUGACUAAAGGAGCAAUUCGCUUUGGGAGGGACCUGCGUCCCAUCAGCUAGUUGGUGAGGUAAUGGCUCACCAAGGCUACGACGGGUAGGGGACCUGAGAGGGUGGCCCCCCACAAUGGAACUGAAACACGGUCCAUACACCUACGGGUGGCAGCAGUAGGGAAUAUUGCACAAUGGGCGAAAGCCUGAUGCAGCAACGCCGCGUGUGCGAUGAAGGCCUUCGGGUCGUAAAGCACUUUUCUGAGGGAUGAGCAAGGACAGUACCUCAGGAAUAAGUCUCGGCUAACUACGUGCCAGC